Molecule: long non-coding RNA, 1767 nt
Filed under: Triticum aestivum (bread wheat)
Lineage: Eukaryota; Viridiplantae; Streptophyta; Magnoliopsida; Poales; Poaceae
Description: long non-coding RNA (TAES_LNC027866)
Source: RNAcentral
GCAAAUGGAGCAGCUGCAAGGCAACCCAGUUGUUCCCAUAGGUUUGCUCCUUCUUUUCGCUGGGAAAGUCAUCCUCCUCUUCCUGAUAUGCUCUUAUGCUAAUUGGUUAUGGAAUUUUUCUAGCAAUACCAGACGAAUUAUUGCAUAUAUGCAACAAUGAACACACAGGCAAGAAAAAAGAGAGGUCCACUUCUAACUGCUGGGCGAGGUAUAAGUACAACAAAGCUACACUGAUUUCUUGAAUUCAUUUUUUUCCCAAGAACCUCAAAUGAAGGGAUCCAUCCAUGAACAAUAUUCUUUAUAGUAGUUCCAGUACAAAUGAUUGAUAAAAAGUACUCAUUUUUUCUCGAUACAGUAAGAAUUAAUUUGGAAAGCUACUGUAUUAAUUCGGCCGAAUACGCACCUUCUCGAAGGUCACAUACAGUAAUUAUGUAUCUAGGUAAACACUUUCUAUAUGACAUAAGCACUUUUGUGUGAUUCCUUUUGGGUCCUCCAAUAGCAAACCUGAAGUAAAAUUAUAAGUCUGGAUGACCUAAUAAAGGUAUGGUUUUGUAACUAGCAUACUCUGUUUCAUUGUUCUUCCAUAGACCCUAUUAAGAAAUUCGCACAUUCUUUUGCUGGUUGCAGGUUUAAUAUCAUUACAGUGUGCACUUGUUUAAGUAAUAUCAUGAUAUUUGUGAUUACUUACAUGUACUAUUUUGCAUUCUGCACAUGUAUUACUUUGUUCAAUCCAAAAAUGUAGAUGGUAUUAUGGGUAUUACUAAUAACCUAUCCGUUCAUCAUGCCCUAUGAUUUUUUUCUCAAUCCUGUCCAAACUAUUGUUAGUCAUUCAGAUCAUGUUUGUGAAUUUUGUCUCCACAAAAAAUACUCCAUGUAGAUCUCUCUCGAUGCUUACUUGGUUGUGAGAAUAACCAGUGUCGGAUUAGAAGUGAUGGCAACUUGGGUGACGUUCUUCCGUUUUGUGACCUUGAGUUGGCAUCCUGGUUUGUGAGAACAUAUAAGGUGUUAUAUUAAUUAGGCACGAUACGUUUGACACCUUGAGCAGGUUGCCUGGUUCAUCAUGCAUUUAAAUGAAGGAUAAAUAGAGAUCGAUAUCCCUAAUUUUAUUGUUGUGCUUGUUUGAAGCGAGAAUGAUGCUAAUUAACUAAUCGUCCGCUAUGACAUACUCUAUGCAAUUUUUUGGAAGUUGUCACUAAAGCAAAAUACAGCAUUUUUGUGCAGAUUCGUGAGUCUCCUACUGUGGAAAAAUAAAGUAAAGAAGAUCAGAGAAUAAUUACAUUGUCAUCUGACCAGGCUAAUCUGCAGAAAGCGUGCAUGGACAGGGAUCGUCCCAGUAACCUCUGCGAAGAGAGGGUGCAUUUAAGGAGAUAUCUUCCUAUAUUUAUCUGCAGCAUCGAUGAUAUCAUGGGCAGUUUUUCUUCUUGUCUAACUAGAUCUAUAUCGUCAUCUAUGUUAGAAUAAUCUCUUCGGUUGACUCAUCCACGCUUGAUAUUAUUUAUGGAAUAGGAAAAUUUUAUUCAACCAGAACUAUUUAGAUCAUCCAUAUGAACAUUUAUCGAUUCUCUGUCAUUUUCAUUCAAGCGUAUGCAUAUUUUUGUGUUGAAUAACAUGUUUGCUGAUGUAAUGCAAGCCAAUAAUUUUCAUGGUCGUGCUACCUUUGGUAUUUCGUACUAUAUAAGAAUUAUGUAAGUAUUUUCAAGUGAGCUUGGCUAUAAAUUGUCAGAUGGCUCUUGAAUCAUUUCAGAUUUCACACACGCUCUGCUAAUC